GUAGGUGGCAAGCGUUGUCCGGAAUUAUUGGGCGUAAAGCGCGCGCAGGCGGUUCUUUAAGUCUGAUGUGAAAGCCCACGGGCUCAACCGUGGAGGGUCAUUGGAAACUGGAGAACUUGAGUACAGAAGAGGAAAGCGGAAUUCCACGUGUAGCGGUGAAAUGCGUAGAGAUGUGGAGGAACACCAGUGGCGAAGGCGGCUUCCUGGUCUGUAACUGACGCUGAGGCGCGAAAGCGUGGGGAGCAAACAGGAUUAGAUACCCUGGUAGUCCACGCCGUAAACGAUGAGUGCUAAGUGUUAGGGGGUUUCCGCCCCUUAGUGCUGCAGCUAACGCAUUAAGCACUCCGCCUGGGGAGUACGGCCGCAAGGCUG
This 372-nucleotide ribosomal RNA is filed under the name uncultured organism. RNAcentral's name for it is "partial 16S ribosomal RNA". It matches the Rfam family "Bacterial small subunit ribosomal RNA", at positions 527 to 896 of the family's 1533-position model. The record is from RNAcentral.